UGCGUAGGCUGGAAUGUAAGUCAUAUGUGAAAUUUCAAGGCUCAACCUUGAAGCUGCAUCUGAAACUACAUUUCUUGAGGGAUGGCGGAGAAAAUGGAAUUCCACGUGUAGCGGUGAAAUGCGUAGAUAUGUGGAAGAACACCUGUGGCGAAAGCGGUUUUCUAGCUUCCCCCUGACGCUGAGGCACGAAAGCAAGGGGAUCAAACA
RNAcentral lists this ribosomal RNA (207 nucleotides) under uncultured bacterium. Its description in RNAcentral is "partial 16S ribosomal RNA". It matches the Rfam family "Bacterial small subunit ribosomal RNA", at positions 568 to 774 of the family's 1533-position model. The record is from RNAcentral.